RNAcentral lists this ribosomal RNA (508 nucleotides) under uncultured Methanimicrococcus sp. RNAcentral describes it as "bacterial SSU rRNA". It matches the Rfam family "Archaeal small subunit ribosomal RNA", at positions 74 to 584 of the family's 1478-position model. Lineage: Archaea; Methanobacteriati; Methanobacteriota; Methanomicrobia; Methanosarcinales; Methanosarcinaceae. The record is from RNAcentral.
AAUCUCGGCGUACCGCUCAGUAACACGUGGGUAACCUGCCCUAUGCUGGGGGAUAACCUCGGGAAACUGAGAAUAAUACCCCAUAGUUCACCACGCCUGGAACGGUGGGUGGAUGAAAGCUCCGGCGGCAUAGGAUGGGCCUGCGGCGUAUCAGGUUGUAGGGGGUGUAAUGUACCCUCUAGCCAUCUACGCGUACGGGUGUUGGGAGACAUCGCCCGGAGAUGGAUUCUGAGACACGAAUCCAGACCCUACGGGGUGCAGCAGGCGCGAAAACUUGGCAAUGCGAGCAAUCGUGACCAGGGAACUCCAAGUGCAUCGGGUAAGACCGAUGCUUUUCUUGACUCUUCAAAGGUCUUGGAGUAAGGGGUGGGUAAGGACGGUGCCAGCCGCCGCGGUAAUACCGGCGCCUCAAGUGGUAGUCGCUUUUAUUGGGCCUAAAACGUCCGUAGCCGGUUUGGUACAUUCGUGGGUAAAUCAAGGCGCUCAACGUCUUGAAUUCUGCGAGCAC